GGGAAUAUUGCGCAAUGGAGGAAACUCUGACGCAGCGACGCCGCGUGGGUGAUGAAGGCCUUCGGGUUGUAAAGCCCUGUCGGCUGGGAAAAAGGUAGUCGUGCUAAUACCACGAUUGCUUGAUGGUACCAGCAAAGGAAGCACCGGCUAACCCUGUGCCAGCAGCCGCGGUAAUACAGGGGGUGCUAGCGUUGUUCGGAAUUACUGGGCGUAAAGGGCGCGUAGGCGGCUUAACAAGUCAGAUGUGAAAUCUCGGGGCUUAACUCCGAAAGUGCAUUUGAAACUGUUAGGCUAGAGUGCAGUAGAGGUUGGUGGAAUUCCCAGUGUAGAGGUGAAAUUCGUAGAUAUUGGGAGGAACACCGGUGGCGAAGGCGGCCAACUGGGCUGCAACUGACGCUGAGGCGCGAAAGCGUGGGGAUCAAACA
This 425-nucleotide ribosomal RNA is filed under the name uncultured bacterium. RNAcentral's name for it is "bacterial SSU rRNA". It matches the Rfam family "Bacterial small subunit ribosomal RNA", at positions 357 to 774 of the family's 1533-position model. The record is from RNAcentral.